UAGGGAAUCUUCGGCAAUGGGGGGAACCCUGACCGAGCAACGCCGCGUGCGUGAAGAAGGUUUUCGGAUCGUAAAGCUCUGUUGUAAGAGAAGAACGGGUGUGAGAGUGGAAAGUUCACACUGUGACGGUAUCUUACCAGAAAGGGACGGCUAACUACGUGCCAGCAGCCGCGGUAAUACGUAGGUCCCGAUCGUUGUCCGGAUUUAUUGGGCGUAAAGCGAGCGCAGGCGGUUAGAUAAGUCUGAAGUUAAAGGCUGUGGCUUAACCAUAGUAUGCUUUGGAAACUGUUUAACUUGAGUGCAGAAGGGGAGAGUGGAAUUCCAUGUGUAGCGGUGAAAUGCGUAGAUAUAUGGAGGAACACCGGUGGCGAAAGCGGCUCUCUGGUCUGUAACUGACGCUGAGGCUCGAAAGCGUGGGGAGCAAACA
This 427-nucleotide ribosomal RNA is filed under the name uncultured bacterium. RNAcentral describes it as "partial 16S ribosomal RNA". It matches the Rfam family "Bacterial small subunit ribosomal RNA", at positions 355 to 774 of the family's 1533-position model. The record is from RNAcentral.